Molecule: non-coding RNA, 372 nt
Filed under: Trichomonas vaginalis G3
Lineage: Eukaryota; Parabasalia; Trichomonadida; Trichomonadidae
Description: Eukaryotic small subunit ribosomal RNA
Rfam family: Eukaryotic small subunit ribosomal RNA
Source: Rfam by way of RNAcentral
UAGCAGGUGGAAGAGGGUAGCAAUAACAGGUCCGUGCUGCCCUUUAGAUGCUCUGGGCUGCACGCGUGCUACAAUGUUAGGAUCAAUAGGACUGCGAGCCUGAGAGGGUGCGCUACUCUUAUAAUCCCUAACGUAGUUGGGAUUGACGUUUGUAAUCAGCGUCAUGAACCAGGAAUCCCUUGUAAAUGUGUGUCAACAACGCACGUUGAAUACGUCCCUGCCCUUUGUACACACCGCCCGUCGCUCCUACCGAUUGGAUGACUCGGUGAAAUCACCGGAUGCUUACGAGCAGAAAGUGAUUAAAUCACGUUAUCUAGAGGAAGGAGAAGUCGUAACAAGGUAACGGUAGGUGAACCUGCCGUUGGAUCAGUU